Molecule: ribosomal RNA, 515 nt
Filed under: uncultured archaeon
Lineage: Archaea
Description: bacterial SSU rRNA
Rfam family: Archaeal small subunit ribosomal RNA
Source: RNAcentral
AACCUUUACACUGCCCGCCAGUGCGAUAAGGGGACUCCAAGUGCGAGGGCAUAUAGUCCUCGCUUUUCUGGACCGUAAGGAGGUCCAGGAACAAGGGCUGGGCAAGACCGGUGCCAGCCGCCGCGGUAAUACCGGCAGCCCAAGUGAUGGCCGCUCUUAUUGGGCCUAAAGCGUCCGUAGCUGGCCAGGCAAGUCCGUCGGGAAAUCCGCACGCCCAACGUGCGGGCGUCCGGUGGAAACUGCCUGGCUUGGGACCGGAAGACCUGAGGGGUACGUCCGGGGUAGGAGUGAAAUCCCGUAAUCCUGGACGGACCACCGGUGGCGAAAGCGCCUCAGGAAGACGGAUCCGACGGUGAGGGACGAAAGCUCGGGUCACGAACCGGAUUAGAUACCCGGGUAGUCCGAGCUGUAAACGAUGUCUGCUAGGUGUGACACAGGCUACGAGCCUGUGUUGUGCCGUAGGGAAGCCGUGAAGCAGACCGCCUGGGAAGUACGUCCGCAAGGAUGAAACUUAA